Molecule: transfer RNA, 73 nt
Filed under: Pseudoxiphophorus bimaculatus (twospot livebearer)
Lineage: Eukaryota; Metazoa; Chordata; Actinopteri; Cyprinodontiformes; Poeciliidae
Also listed under: 1 other name
Description: tRNA-Thr
Rfam family: tRNA
About the family: Transfer RNA (tRNA) molecules are approximately 80 nucleotides in length. Their secondary structure includes four short double-helical elements and three loops (D, anti-codon, and T loops). Further hydrogen bonds mediate the characteristic L-shaped molecular structure. tRNAs have two regions of fundamental functional importance: the anti-codon, which is responsible for specific mRNA codon recognition, and the 3' end, to which the tRNAs corresponding amino acid is attached (by aminoacyl-tRNA synthetases). tRNAs cope with the degeneracy of the genetic code in two manners: having more than one tRNA (with a specific anti-codon) for a particular amino acid; and 'wobble' base-pairing, i.e. permitting non-standard base-pairing at the 3rd anti-codon position.
Source: RNAcentral
GCAUUAGUAGCUCAGCUUUUAGAGCGUCGGUUUUGUAAACCGAAAGUCGGGGGUUAGACUCCCCCCUAUUGCU